Molecule: non-coding RNA, 31 nt
Filed under: Mus musculus (house mouse)
Lineage: Eukaryota; Metazoa; Chordata; Mammalia; Rodentia; Muridae
Source: RNAcentral
UAUUAUUAUUAAUUUAUUAUUUAGAGUCUCC